Molecule: ribosomal RNA, 451 nt
Filed under: uncultured bacterium
Lineage: Bacteria
Description: partial 16S ribosomal RNA
Rfam family: Bacterial small subunit ribosomal RNA
Source: RNAcentral
GUGGGGAAUAUUGGACAAUGGGGGGAACCCUGAUCCAGCCAUGCCGCGUGUGUGAAGAAGGCCUUUUGGUUGUAAAGCACUUUAAGCGAGGAGGAGGCUACCGAGAUUAAUACUCUUGGAUAGUGGACGUUACUCGCAGAAUAAGCACCGGCUAACUCUGUGCCAGCAGCCGCGGUAAUACAGAUGGUGCAAGCGUUAAUCGGAUUUACUGGGCGUAAAGCGCGCGUAGGUGGCCAAUUAAGUCAAAUGUGAAAUCCCCGAGCUUAACUUGGGAAUUGCAUUCGAUACUGGUUGGCUAGAGUAUGGGAGAGGAUGGUAGAAUUCCAGGUGUAGCGGUGAAAUGCGUAGAGAUCUGGAGGAAUACCGAUGGCGAAGGCAGCCAUCUGGCCUAAUACUGACACUGAGGUGCGAAAGCAUGGGGAGCAAACAGGAUUAGAUACCCUAGUAGUCC